CGUACGGCGAGUGAGCGGCAAAAGCUCAAAUUUGAAAUCUGGUACCUUCGGUGCCCGAGUUGUAAUUUGUAGAAGGUAACUUUGGGGCUGGUCCUUGUCUAUGUUCCUUGGAACAGGACGUCAUAGAGGGUGAGAAUCCCGUGUGGCGAGGAUCCCAGUUCUUUGUAAAGUGCUUUCGAAGAGUCGAGUUGUUUGGGAAUGCAGCUCUAAGUGGGUGGUAAAUUCCAUCUAAAGCUAAAUAUUGGCGAGAGACCGAUAGCGAACAAGUACAGUGAUGGAAAGAUGAAAAGAACUUUGAAAAGAGAGUGAAAAAGUACGUGAAAUUGUUGAAAGGGAAGGGCAUUUGAUCAGACAUGGUGUUUUGCGCCCUCUGCUCCUUGUGGGUGGGGGAAUCUCGCAGCUCACUGGGCCAGCAUCAGUUUUGGCGGCAGGAUAAAUCUGCAGGAAUGUAGCUUGCCUCGGUAAGUGUUAUAUCCUGUAGAAAUACUGCCAGCUGGGACUGAGGACUGCGACUUUACGUCAAGGAUGCUGGCAUAAUGGUUAUAUGCCGCCCGUCUUGAACCACGGACCAAAAA
RNAcentral lists this ribosomal RNA (575 nucleotides) under Torulaspora delbrueckii. RNAcentral describes it as "eukaryotic LSU rRNA". It matches the Rfam family "Eukaryotic large subunit ribosomal RNA", at positions 79 to 672 of the family's 3401-position model. Lineage: Eukaryota; Fungi; Ascomycota; Saccharomycetes; Saccharomycetales; Saccharomycetaceae. The record is from RNAcentral.